RNAcentral lists this non-coding RNA (215 nucleotides) under Caballeronia glathei. The record is from RNAcentral. Lineage: Bacteria; Pseudomonadati; Pseudomonadota; Betaproteobacteria; Burkholderiales; Burkholderiaceae.
GGUGCUCGCGCACGCGCUUGUCCGAGCGUGCGCAGUCAAACGGGAAACAGGGAGCACGACAGUGCCAACCUGUGCUGUCCCCGCAACGGUACGCGACCGGCGGCUUUCCACGAAAGCCGCGCAUUUCGUUCAGGGCCACUGCGCGGCGGGAUCGGCGGGAAGGCGGACGCGGUGGGGUCGCAAGCCCGGAUACCGGCCAGCGCAAGUGGCGAGCC